GCUUUGGUAGCUCAGUGGAAGAGACGUCGUCCGGUGAGCGAAAGGUCCCGGGUUCGAUUCCUGGCCCCAGCA
RNAcentral lists this transfer RNA (72 nucleotides) under Harpegnathos saltator (Jerdon's jumping ant). It matches the Rfam family "tRNA". From Rfam's summary of the family: Transfer RNA (tRNA) molecules are approximately 80 nucleotides in length. Their secondary structure includes four short double-helical elements and three loops (D, anti-codon, and T loops). Lineage: Eukaryota; Metazoa; Arthropoda; Insecta; Hymenoptera; Formicidae. The record is from Rfam by way of RNAcentral.